This 569-nucleotide ribosomal RNA is filed under the name uncultured bacterium. Its description in RNAcentral is "partial 16S ribosomal RNA". The stretch from base 319 to 569 matches the Rfam family "Bacterial small subunit ribosomal RNA", at positions 547 to 796 of the family's 1533-position model. The record is from RNAcentral.
CGCUCGAAGGGAGUGGACUUUUCAUUUGUCUGGAGUCUGUCCUACUGACCUAGGCAGCAGUCCCUAUAUUAUUGCCACGUGGUGGCCUCAGUUGGGAUGCGCUAAGAACGUCCAGCAGCUACUCAGACCUACUCUACUGUACGCUUCUCCAUUGUGAUUCCUGCCAUUCUUAAUGCAAAGCACUACUGGGAAAACAAGCUAUGACCAUGCUUACUCCAAGCUCUGAGUAUCACUCGUUACAGAGACUAGUCUUCAGGUCUAAUCGAAUUCGCCCUCUGGCAGCAGCCGCCGGUAAUCCGAAGGGGGUUAGCGUCGCUCGGAAUCACUGGGCGUAAAGGGCGCGUAGGCGGCCGAUUAAGUCGGGGGGUGAAAACCUGUGGCUCAACCACAGAAUUGCCUUCGAUACUGGUUGGCUUGAGACCGGAAGAGGACAGCGGAACUGCGAGUGUAGAGGUGAAAUUCGUAGAUAUUCGCAAGAACACCAGUGGCGAAGGCGUCUGUCUGGUCCGGUUCUGCCGCUGAGGCGCGAAAGCGUGGGGAGCAAACAGGAUUAGAUACCCUGGUAGUCA